CAGUCGCCGCGGUAAUACGUAGGUGGCAAGCGUUGUCCGGAAUUAUUGGGCGUAAAGCGCGCGCAGGUGGUUCCUUAAGUCUGAUGUGAAAGCCCACGGCUCAACCGUGGAGGGUCAUUGGAAACUGGGGGACUUGAGUGCAGAAGAGGAAAGUGGAAUUCCAAGUGUAGCGGUGAAAUGCGUAGAUAUUUGGAGGAACACCAGUGGCGAAGGCGACUUUCUGGUCUGUAACUGACACUGAGGCGCGAAAGCGUGGGGAGCAAACAGGAUUAGAGACCCCGGUAGUCCCUGUCUCUUAUAC
This 301-nucleotide ribosomal RNA is filed under the name uncultured bacterium. RNAcentral describes it as "partial 16S ribosomal RNA". It matches the Rfam family "Bacterial small subunit ribosomal RNA", at positions 509 to 807 of the family's 1533-position model. The record is from RNAcentral.